AGCAGCGUGGCUCAGUGGAAAGAGCCUGGGCUUGGGAGCUAGAGGUCAUGGGUUCUAAUCCCGACUCUGCCA
This is a non-coding RNA of Ornithorhynchus anatinus (platypus), 72 nucleotides long. The record is from Rfam. NCBI's taxonomy places the organism in Eukaryota, Metazoa, Chordata, Mammalia, Monotremata, Ornithorhynchidae.